UGUGUGUGUGUGUGUGUGUGUGUGUGUGUACGUGCAUGCACACACACACACACACACACACU
This 62-nucleotide microRNA precursor is filed under the name Marmota monax (woodchuck). Lineage: Eukaryota; Metazoa; Chordata; Mammalia; Rodentia; Sciuridae. The record is from RNAcentral.